Long non-coding RNA from Pogoniulus pusillus (Red-fronted tinkerbird), 241 nucleotides. RefSeq lists it as uncharacterized. The transcript is spliced from 3 exons. Lineage: Eukaryota; Metazoa; Chordata; Aves; Piciformes; Lybiidae. The record is from RefSeq and is a predicted model, not a curated record.
GACAUUUAGGCACUCUGAGUCUGUUUUUUGAGUGGUAAUUUCUGCUCUAGUCUCACAUACCGUUGAUGGUUCUUGGAUGGUCCGGGUCUGCCCUGAGAAAGAGAAAGAUAAAUAUGCACCUCCACCCUGAAUGAAACAGGAAUGAAAACCAGAUGGGCUGAUUUGGAGAUUUGUUUUGUAAUCUUCCUCUGAGCUAAGAUGCCUGCUAAACCUUACAACUCUGGACUUUACAUUUCAGGUA